AACGAACGCUGGCGGCAUGCCUAACACAUGCAAGUCGAACGAGACCUUCGGGUCUAGUGGCGCACGGGUGCGUAACGCGUGGGAAUCUGCCCCUUGGUUCGGAAUAACAGCGAGAAAUUGCUGCUAAUACCGGAUAAUGACGUAAGUCCAAAGAUUUAUCGCCAAGGGAUGAGCCCGCGUAGGAUUAGCUAGUUGGUGUGGUAAAGGCGCACCAAGGCGACGAUCCUUAGCUGGUCUGAGAGGAUGAUCAGCCACACUGGGACUGAGACACGGCCCAGACUCCUACGGGAGGCAGCAGUGGGGAAUAUUGGACAAUGGGCGAAAGCCUGAUCCAGCAAUGCCGCGUGAGUGAUGAAGGCCUUAGGGUUGUUAAAGCUCUUUUACCCGAGAUGAUAAUGACAGUAUCGGGAGAAUAAGCUCCGGCUAACUCCGUGCCAGCAGCCGCGGUAAAGUGACUACUG
Molecule: ribosomal RNA, 461 nt
Filed under: uncultured bacterium
Lineage: Bacteria
Description: bacterial SSU rRNA
Rfam family: Bacterial small subunit ribosomal RNA
Source: RNAcentral